AGUGUAUGCAAAAUAAAAAAAAGAACAGAAACGGAAAAUGCCAACAAUAUUAAAAGCAGUGGCCGUUUCUCAGCAAUGACGGCCCUGCUCACGGCCUUGUUGUCUAAUGAUAGUCUUGCUAAUGAUGCGUUCGCACACGCACAUGUAUAGCGGUAACGAGAGACUAUUUUACCUACCAGUUCUCUAUGGUUGGGCAUCGUUCAAGCCAGAAACAUUUAACAAUAAAUCGUUCGAUCUUGAGUAAAAAAUUAAAAGUGGAAAGUGAAAAUUAAUAGUCUGUAACACACGAAGUUCUUCUACAUUUGAAUAGUUAUCUAAGACAAAGGAAUCCUUUAAGUUGAUGUAUAAAUACAUUGAAUUUAAAACAUCAUGAAAUAUGUAAGAUACUUAUUUUUUAAAUUGAUACGACAAAGAAUAAAGAAAAAAUGAAAAAUAAAUAAAGGAUCUCAUCUUAAUCUUCGUGAACCUUUAUAACUAAGAAACAAUACUCAACUCUAAAGACCGGAGGAGAAAAACUUGUUGUGACCCCCUUUUACAAUGUUCAAUAAAAUGAUGUUCGGUAUUCAAUAUGCUAUGUUCAGUAAUAACUCACGCCAUUGUCUCAAGUAACGAGAGAAUCAUCUUGACAAUAUUAAAAUAACAUAACAAAUAAAGUAAUAAUAUAAUAUUGAAAUAAAAAUUGGCAGCAGCGCUCCCUCGAAAAACACUCUGCAACUCUCUCUUAUAGAUCACGACUUCAAUUUCAAAAAUCAAUAAAAAUGGACUUAAUAUCAAGUUCUUUUUUUUCCCCUACAGUUUUCAAUUUUUAAUAGAAACCGAUCGAGUACAAACCGAUAGAUGAACAUAAAUUCCACUAUCGUAAGAAUGGUAGCGAGCGUUACACGACGCAUGAAUAAACGAAUAAUCAUACGUAUACACCGAUAACAGUAUCUCGAAUAAAAUCGUCAGUCGCAUAAUUACUCGAGAGGCACAGCCAAGAUAAAGCGGCUUGUUAAGAAACGUAACGAGCAGGUCCAGAGAAAUCAGCGUGCAAAGCUCGUGAGUCCACGCUUGUCUAUCUAUAGUACCGGCCGUAUUCUGUCGCGUGAUGCAACUUUAUAAGCACGAGGUCCUUCGAAAUAAUUCGGAUAGCGCGGCGAAAGAGUAACAGAAGCAAACAUCAUUCUUCUUUCUCAAAAUUUAAAGGAAUGGAGCUUCGAGUAUCUAUAAUAUAUCUUGAGGCUGAAAAAUGAAGAACGAGAUAUUUUGACUAAGGAGAGAUAUUUAAAUUAUUUAUCAGAAUUUAUUAAUUAAUAAUUACAAUUAUUAUGUGAAUAUUUCGGACGUUGAAAUGAUACAUUGAAGUAAAAAAGAUUGAAAAAUGUUGUAUUAAAAGGUUGCAAGAUGAACGAACGAAAUAAGGAUACAAAAAACCAAAGAAAUUAAUACAUACGUAUCUAUUUUCCACUGGAUCUCUUAUUUAACUUUAUGAAUGAUUGUAUAACGAAGUAAAAACUUCAAUAAAUGUCCCAGAUUUUUUUCUUUCAGAUUUUUUGAAAGAACACUAAAAAAAAGAAACAGACUUAAAUAUAAAUGCAUAGAAUUUGAUGCGGUCAGAAAAUCGAAAAAAAAAAAAAAUCCAAAAGAUUCUGCAACUUUAUGCCGCAUCCGCAACAACCUUGACGUGGAAGCCUUAUUUUUAUAUCGAGAAACACGAUGUAAAGGCUUCGUGACACCGUACACUUGUAUGAUUCGUUCAAUUACAUUAACUGUCUGUUUAAACCAUGACACACAAAAAUGGAAAACAUAUAGAAAUCAAACAGAGAAGUUUAAAAAAUGACAGAAUAUUCUUUGCUCCAAUGAAAAUACCGAUCAAAUGCUUGAAAAUUCUAUAAGAAAAAUUACUUCGUUUAAUGCCUGAACAAAUACUAUUUAUACGAGGAAUCAAAUGUAAAUAUUUAUUCAUUUCUUUAUUUAAUUGAAAUGCAAAAUAGAAAAUGAUUAUACUCCAUCUAUUCUCAUUAUUUAUUUCUUAAACAUUGGAAAUAAAUUAAAGUUUUUAUAUGUUAUUUUAUACAUACACGUAAUAGUAUGAUUUCAAUAAUAGAUUACGUGUGAUAAUAUUAAAAUUAAAAAAAAUUACUUGAAAUAAUAUCUAUAUUCUCACAUAUCAAUGAGAUAUUCCUUUCAAAAUAUCAUUUUUGUAUACUGAUAUUAAAAAAGUAUAUUUGAAAUAUUAUCUUUUUGUUUAAUUAUUAUAUAUUUCAAAGAAAAAGUAAUUUACAAAAUAACAUACAAAAGGAAAUAGGAAAAAAAAAAUAUUUAUUCUUCAUUUCAAAAUAUAUUUUCAAAGAAAUAAAUAUUUGAUGAUGAAAGAGUCGUUUCUCUAAACCUACAUCUCGAUCAAGAUCUACGGAUUCUUACACGGCCUCGUUUUUACUUCUAAAUCACACACGAGCGUCUCUAAAUUACUGUCACUAUUAUCUUAUCGUGCAGUCCCUUUUACAGAAUCGUAAAUACUAGUUGCACAGCGUAGAGGAACGGCCACGUGCCCCGACGUGUCGUCGCUGUAAAUUAUUCAAAACCGGCACAAUAAUGAGUAAGCAACUUAUGAGUAGAUAAGCCUCGCCUUGCCACUUAUUACCAUACCUCGACGAUGCUAACAAGUAGCGAGCAAACUUUGCUUCGAGAAACUCAAUUUUUUCCUUUUCCCAAUACUUUACCACGCUUUAUAUCUACCAUAAUUCCUUCACUUACGAAUAAACCAGUGUAUAUUUACUUUUAAAUACUUAUUUUGUGCAACAUGUAAGUAAAUAUUACAUUUUUUCAAUCUUUUUUUCACUCGUUCAAUUCCGCGUCUGAAAGCAAUGUCUGAAUUUAUAUAUGAAUAUCUACGUUUGAAGUACAAUCGCGUCAAUAUUGUCUUGUAUUUUUAUUAAUAAUUUUAAUUGAAUAAUAUCAUUUCUAUACAUUUUAUCAAUUGAUAUUUCCAUAACAUUUUAAAAAUCCGCGAUAAGAAUAUAAGGGGGAAAAAAAAUUGUGACUUGCUUAAAGUUGUUCAAAAUGAUUUCAAGGUCAAAUAAAUGGCAGUACAAUCUCUGUCUCUCGCAAUAAUAAAUUUUAUCUAUAAAUAUUUUUCCAAAUUUUUUUCUUAAUUAUAUAUAUAUAUCUUUUUUUAAGAUUUUCUUCUUAGAUUUCUAUAAUAUAAAUUAUUAUGUCGAUAACAUAGAUAUAUAUCUAUAUUUUAGGAAAAAAAAUUUUUUUUUCUACUUCUCCAAUCUCUUAUCUUCAAAUAUCUACAGGAUAUCUACAAUAUCUAUAUUUCCACCAAUCUAAUCUAACGCAUUAAGAAAAUCCUAAUUAAUUUAUCUCUCAUUUAUUAUCCGCUCAAAUAACCAUCCACCAUCCAUAAUCUCAUUACAAAGCACAAGCAUAAUCGCUGUUCAGAAAGGUUCAACCCAAUUCUAACCCAAUAACGUGUGAAAAGAAAGUUGCAUCCAAUACGCUUCGAGACGGACCUUGUUCCAACACGACCAAGGUUCUGAUCGAUAAAACGGAAGCAACGGGACGUAUACGAGACCAAAGGAGCACCGCCAAGGGCGCGGAAGACUUGGGAACGAUCAGGAUCAGGAUAGAUGAAGAUAUCCGGAGGAUGGUGUUUCGCGUCGCGACGAGGUCAGAGAGAAGCGAAGAAAGAGAAGGCUGGGCUUGUCGUUUCGCCGCAAACCCGAAAAUAUCCAUGUUGGCCGGUAUGUUGAAACCUGGCAUAAGCUUUGGCCGGUUGCCAGAAGAGCGGUACUCGGUUGGAGGCCACGCCAGGCCAGAGGCGACCGGCCUCGUCGCUUCGAACGUCCGUCCGUUAGGCCUCCUCGCGAAAAAAGGAGAGGGGAAAAAAAAAGUGAGGAGGAGAAAAAAUAACGAGAAGACCCAUAGGCUGUGCCUCGUAUACCGUGGAACAACGUAGAAAUGAUGCUUCCAGAGGAAUGAAGUCGGGCCACAAAAUUGAUAGUUGACUUAUCACCGAAUUACCCUUCGGUCAUUUUUAAUCAUUCGUUGACCUUUUUUUUUUUUUUUUUUUUUUUUUAUAACUGAACAUCUCUAGUUAACUGGGUUUAGUUCUUUCUUUUGGGCAAACUUGAUAAGCAUUAGGAAAACUAUGUAUACUUUGAUACUCUUGAUAGUACGUAUACUUUUAUUACGAUAUUUUUCUUAGGUUUUUAUAGAUUUUUGUAAAUUUUUAUAGGUUUUUGCUUUUUUAUGUUGACAGAAAAGAAGAAUGAAGAAGUUUUGUGAAAAUUUUUUAAAUUUAAUUGGUAUUUUUUAUAUUUUUGACGAAAUAUUUAUUUAAUUUAAUACAGAUUAUUGCUGAAAUUUGUUUCUUAUGAAUUUUUAUUUUUAUCGAUACAAAUAUUUAAUAUUAUUUCAAAAAGUUUAUAAUAAUAAUAAUAAAUUUAGUUUAUUUGAAUUUUUUUUAAUCAUUUAUGAAUAUUAAAAUUCCAAAUAAGAAGUUUAUAUUUCAAAUAUGAUAUUGAUCCUCAAUAAAGUAUUUAACAUUCUAAAAAUUCCCUAAAUCACACAUUUGAUUAUUAUAUCAAUUGUGAAUAACGAUUAAUAUCAAUAUUAUUCACAAACAGUUUAAUAAUAUUUAAAAAUUAUCAUAAAUAUUUUAAAUAAGGAAUUAAAAUAUCUUACAUUAAUGGAUUUUCUUCAUUUGAUACAUAUAAAUAAUGAAACACUAAAGUAUGAUUAUUUUAAAUGUAUUAUCAAUUAAUUCUAAAACGAGUGACAUGCUUGUUAUAGUAAAACACGUGAUGAGUUCGAUUCCACCCACGGCUACUCUUUUCAGAUACCCGUAAAUUCGCAAUUUAUUUCUAUUUCUGCAAUGACAAAUGUCAGUCCUUGAGCGAAGCUAUGACGUAACGCUUUAUCUCAGUGUCAAUCUUGAAAUUAAUGUUCAACUACAUCGCGUGAAAGUGUCGUACACGAUAAUUACGACCGGUAAACUGCUUGGUCAUUAAAUAUGCACCAAAAAAUGCCUCUCCCGUGCAAUUUAAUAGCUACGAUAAAUCUCAUUUAUAUCUAAGUAAUCGUUUUUAAGUAUAAUUUUCUCAUACGGAUUUUCGUAUUAUCUUAGUAAUGAGUAAUAAUUUGAAUAACGUAAUGAAUAACAAAAUUUCUUUCUUAAAAAUAUAUUAAUUUUUUUCUAAAAAUAUAUAUAUAUAUAUGUAUAUAUAAAUAAAUAUUUGUAUAUUUAUAUGUUUAUAUAUAGUGAAUGAAAUUAUAAGAACGCCGUCUUAUCAAAUUUAUAAAACAUGGAUCAAAGAUAAGCUAAAUGCGAUAACUAUAAUACAUACGAUAAUCAUAAAAGCAAUCGACGGAUAGUCUGAAAUUUUUAAACGAGUUUAUGAUGAAGCGUCAUAACAGAAAAACUUGAGUAUGAAAAUAGUGAUAACGAUAAUAGAUUUUCUUUUCUGUAUAUUUUAUUAUCUUAAAGACGUAUUUCGUUUGCGCCUUAUAAUAUGCGCCUCAUAAUGUAAUAUUGAUAAAAAAAUAAAUAUAAAUUAAAAUACAUGAGUUUAAAGGUAAAAUAAAUUUUAUAUAAAAAUAGAUGAAUUUUGUUCGAUUACAAUUUUUAAUUCAAACAAUAAAUUAUCAUCGAAAAUUUAAAAAUUCAAAACAUACACAUAUAUAUCGAAAAAUUAAUUUUAAAAUAAUAACGACGUAAUAAUUAUAAACUAUUUAUAAUCAUUUUUACAAUCACUCACUUUAAUCAUUUGAUGUCACCUUACAAUAAAACCUAUUUCAUCGCGAACAGCGUAUGAAAUUGGUUACAAAAUUGAAUGGGAAGUAAGCCAUUACGUUGAGUCAGGGAACUGUCCUUAAUUUACCGGUUCUAUAUUUCGAAUUAUUGAUACAACGUUGUUAACAUAAUUAACUUCUAUAAGAUUUCCAUGCUUUCACUUUCUUUUCUAUAUAACGACAACAAAUAGAUUUUAAUCUAUUUUCUUUUAUUUUGUUCUUUUCUAUCGUUACCAAUAGACAAAACUUGAACGAAUGCCGCGAUUGCGCAAAGCACAAUUACCUGAGCUAGACUCGAACCUUAUUCCACAGAUAAUGCAGUUCGACAAGAAAUUCAAAUUAUUUGUUUCUUGAAAUGUACUUUGUCUAAUUUACAUUUUACACGUCAUACGAUAUAAAUUGAUAUGCAAAUUAAUAUAAUAAAAAAAAUAUUGACGUUUCAAGAAAAAACUAUAAUAAGCUUUGAAUAAUCGUUUAAGUUAAUUAUUAAGUCAAUUUAACAACUGAACAAUUAUCAAAGUUUGAUACAAUAUAAUUUCACUUAUAAAGCUGAUGUAAAACUAUAAAUGUCAAUAAGAUACUAUUGAACGGCAAACUAAAUAAAUACUACGCAACUAAUAUUUUAUUUCAUUCUCCCUCCUUUAAUAUUAUUCCCCCACUCUAUUCUUUUCGUAAACUUGAAAGAACACGCAUUUUUAAAAACUCAAAACAAUGAAAUAUUACACAUUAAUAUCAAUAAAUUGAAACACAGUUCAAGAGGAAAACGAUCAUAUAAAUAAUUGACUUUCGAUAAAUAUAAAUUAAUAGUUUUAAUAUAAAAUUAUCAAUUAUGAAUUUAUUAUUUCGAAUUUACCACAUGAUAUUAAAAACGUAUGUUUCAUGGUCAAAUCGAAAAGGUUAGUAAAUCGUUUCGUAAAAUAGUCGUAUUGAGCCGAACUAAACCGAACAUAUAGAUUGAGCAAGUGAAAGUGAGGUUAGGUUGGUAAUAUCACGUGGUGCACCACGGGGUCCAAACGAGGUUAAUCGAGAGACCAAGAACCGAGCGCCGGCGCAACCAAUGAACAUCAAAUGUAUACUUACUAUUCUAUAUUUCUUUUUUUUACAGCCAAUUGUAACGAAAUUUUUUAAAAGAACUUUUGUUUUUCACGUUUUUUAGUAUAUUAUUGAGUAUCAAUGAAGAAAAACAAAAAAUAAAUAAAAAUAAAAAAUUUAAAUAUUACAAUAAAGAUAUCCGUAUUCAAAAAAAAUAUUUAUGACAAAGUGAUUCGUUAAUGGAAUCAAGGGAAAAAACAUGUUUGUUCAUAUUCGUUCGAUCGCCGCUAGUCAGCGCUGAAGUAGUAUUUGCGCGAAUUUCGAAGAAAAGAAAAAAUGCGCGUUCUAACAAGACGAAAGAACUAGGAGGAGGAGGGGAGAUUAUCGAGCCUACAUAGUAGAAUAUUCUUCUAAAAAAAAUUAUAUCUUACAAAUUAAAUAGGAUCAUAAUGAUACUUACCAAUCAAUGGAAAAAUACUAGGUUGAUCGAGCAGCGACUUGAGACUGUUUUCAACAAGAGUGGGAGAAGAACGAUCCUUGUCACUCAUUUCACGCACUGCGCCACGAAGCCGCACGUUCUGAAGGUACACACGCACACACAAUCCGUUCGUAUACGGAACACCGCACGAAAGAACGAACGACAGAUAUAGAUAGACUUUCUACGUGUAUACACGGAAACUAAAAGUGUGUACGCCGAGCAGAAACAGCACACACACGAAUGUAACAAAGUAAUAACAACGAGCACGCAGGCAACGAGAACGAUGUGCCUCCCGUGGGACACAAUUAAAUGACGUUCUUCCAGACCGGCAGAGAGAAAAGGCGCCCGCACCCAAACCUCUCACCUCGUCACGCUGUUUCUACUAUCACCCGAGACGGUCGCGGCCCGUUCGAACACUCUGGCCACGUUAAAAUAAACGCGGAGCGCUACCCAGUGCACGGUGUUCUUGAAAAUCAAUCUAAAAGUGGAUCGGUUAGUGGCGCAAUCUCCUGGCUACCCUCUGGACCGACUCGCGAACAAGUGAACGACGCCUGCCGUUCUGAUAACGAACACUGUCUGUACUUCUGCCUUAUCGCGAUGCGCGCGCAUUCAUCCGCCCUCCUCCUCCUCCCCCUUCUUUAUAACAUGGUUUCUUGACCAUCAUCAGCAGUUUUCGUGAAAUCUUCGAUCUUACUAUGUUUUUUCCUUUUUUAUUAUUUCAGAUUAUACGAAUAUGAAUUUUCAAAUACGAUGAUAUAAACGAUAUAUAAUUUUUUUUAUUUUUUUCUAUUAGAUUUUCUUUGUGAAUUUGUUAAUUCAGUGUUAAUUGUGAUUCGAAAUCAAAAAGGCUAUCAUUCAUUUUUCUUUUUGAAUUUAAAGAGAUUCUUUUUUAUUAUUUAUAGAUUGUUAACAAUAAACAAUUGUACUAUAAUUGAUUGUAAUACAUCUUAUAGAAUCUAGAUAAUUUUAGAUAAUUUUUUGAUACACGAUGUACAUAACAAAAAAUAAUGAUAGAUUUAUAAAUUUGUUACCAAAUAAUGAAAAUAAGAUGUAUAAGAAUUACAGAAAAAAUGUAAAAUUAUUAAGAAUUAAUAAAUGUAUUGUUGAUCAAAUUGAUCUGCCACGUGCAAAUGAAAAUUAAAUUAGAGAAAUAUAUAUUUAAAACAGAUAUUAUCGGAAUUAUCAAAGCAAUUAUAAAUGAUAAUAAAUAAAAAUCUAAUAAUUAUAUGAUUGUUUUAUGGUUAAAAAAAACUUUCAAAAUAUUGGAUGCUCAAUAUUUUACUAUACUUAUAUCAUGCUUUAUAUACAAAUCCAUGAAAACAAAAACAGAAUACAAUUUUAAUGACUUGUGUGAUAAUAAUACUUUUUAAGUACAAAAUUGAACACUGUUGUGGAAGUUGAAAUUGUUUGACAUAUUUUUAAGUAUCUAAAAAGUAUAAUAUUAAUAUAACAUAUUAAUAUUUGAUAUGUUUGUCAGUUAUUUUUGAUAAUACAAAUGUUGAAGAUAUUUUUUAUAAAAUAUUUUGCACAUAACUAUCAAAAAUUAUGUACAUUUCUCCUAUUAAAUUAAAUGUAUUAAAUGUAAAAAUACUAACUAUACUUACAUACAUAUUAACCUUCUAACAAAGCUCUGAUAAAAUUUGUAUUCUCUUCUUAUAGCAUCAAACUUAAAAAAUGAACAUUAAAUAAAUGAGAAAUGGAAAAAUAUUUUAAAAUAAUAUAUUAAUUGCUUAUAUUAUCUUUAUUCCUAAAUUGUUUUAAAAUUUUUUUCUUGAAAGUUAAAAUUUACUGAAAAAAAAAAACAAAUAAGAUGCAAAUUGAAUGAAGAAUUUUUUUCUAAAGAAAAAAAAAAAAGAGAAGAAAAAGAAUUACAUUAUAUAAAUACUAUUGUACUAUCCAUGUUUGAUCAUCUGUUCGUUCACAUUUCAAUGUAUCAAAAGUACAUUCAUCAGAGCUAUCUCGUUUAGAAAGUAUGUAUAUCGCUCGUAGAACCAUUUAAACCCAAACGCUUAAAGAUUCGGUGGCGGUUUGGGAGAUAAAACUAUUACGCUGUUUAUGAAAAAGAGCUUGAAUUUCAGCUGGAGUUGAUGACCAUCUACGGUGUCUGGCUUUUUCUACAGAUAUCUCAGGUAAACCCACUUCUUGAUAACCUUUUAUAGGAGAAAUUGAUAAUGCAUUAGGUAAACCAAUUUCUUGAAAAGAACUCAUAGAAGAAAAUCCACUCUCAUCCUCAACACUGCUUACACUAGCAGCUGGCUUUGAUUUCGAAGACUGGUCUUUCUCCUUUUCUGCUUUUCUAUCAUGCUUAUUUGGCGUCGAUGUUGGCGUACAUGAGAAAAUAUGAUCAUUUGGCAUAGAAACAUUAAAGCAAUUAUUAUUAUUUGAAAGUACAUCCUCUUCUUCAGUGGUUUUACUACUUCCUGAGUUAAGUGAAGUGGCAUCAAGAGAUCUUCUAAUACCGGGAAGAAGAUUCUGCAAAUUUUGAUCAAUUUCUGUGAUGUUCGAUGAUGAUUUAAAAAAACAGAUUCUAUUAUCAUUAUCGGUAUUGCUCGAUUCAUUUCCACGAUUGCAAUUGGAACGUUUAUUAUAGGUGCCAUCUUCCCGUAAACUCGUGGAAUUUAUAAAACUAUCAUUCUGCAAUGAUAGUGAUAUCUCGUUGUGAUGAUUAUUAUGACGAUGAUGAUCUAUAGGUGAAGGAGAAUUAUUUUCUAUCGACAAAAUCCUAAAAAGAUCGGGCUCUCUCAUUGAUAGCAACGAUUGAACGGUCCUCAUUAACCUGAAACAAUUAAUUUAUAUUAUUUCAUUAUUUUAAAAUAUUAAUAAUAAUUACAUAUUAAUAGUAAUUAAUAGUAAUUAUAAAAUUAUUUCAAAAAAAUAUAAUUAUUUGAAAUAAAUAUAUAGUUACUAACCUGAAUGCUUCUUGAGAUAAUUUUUCAGGUGGUAUAUCAUUCGGAUCAAUCUCUGAUUGUUUGGGUCUUCUAUAAAUAAUACCGUCAUGAGAUUUAUUGAGAUCUUGAGAUUUAUUACGUGGAGGAGUACAGUGUGUCGGAUCAUUUCUACGAAGCAUUGACCAGGUAAAUUCACGAUAACUCGUGGUACAUGGUGAGAUUUGUGUGACUGAUUUCGCCCUCAUGAAAUGAGAAGAAGAUGUUGCUGAAACAGCGCGAUUCGGCGAGGAAUCCGCAUGAACAGCAUGAACACUACGGCUACGUGGAACUCGUCCCAUUGAAUUCUUAUCUUUGAGAUUAUUCUUCUCAUGAAGAAUAUCCAAGCUUUUGCGAGCCCGAUCUAAGAAACGCACCACUUGCUCCAUUAAAGAACGGUACAUUUGUCUAUUCGCCUCUGUCUGUAAUAUUUUUUCCAAAUAAAUAUUUCUUUAUUUUAUUAAAUAUUUAAUAUCUAUAUAAUAUUUUUAUUUAUAUUAUAUUUGAAUUUUAUUUAUUGUAUCAUAUUUUAAAUUUUAUUAUUUGCUCAUACAAUUGCUUAUAUAUGUUUGAUUAAAAUUUAAAAAUUUUUCACAUAAAAUAAAGUACCAAAAAUAAUACUUGAAUAUUUUUUUCAAAGUCAAACAUAAAAUAUUCGAGAAAUGGGAAUAAGGUAAUCUGGUCGAGGACAUCAACAAUUUCCUCUUGUAAAUCAAGUAUGUUAAACGUUGUUCACGGUUGAAUACAAACCUGUUUCAGCUGCCAUUGCAAUGUUUCAACCUGUGUCUGAAGGAAAACACUGUCGAUCACUUGUACAUGAGGUAUUUGAUUGCUUGUUAAAACGUUCUGUAAUUUUUGAUUCUCUUCUAUCAAUGUUUGGCAUUGCUGAAACAAAAAUAGUAAAAUUAAUUAUUUUUUUAUAUUAAAUUUCUAAUUUUUGUAUGUUUAUAUUUAAUGAGGAAAGUGUCCAGGCUCUCGAACGACUUUCCUGAACGUAAUAAUCGUUUCAAAACAGUAAAGAAUCAUGAUAUGAUGUAUAUGUAUACACGCGUUAAUACAAGGUUUCACCUUGCGUAGGAGAUUUUCACACGGUGGAGUGAACACGAAUCAAACGUUAGAGUAUGUUUGUUUAUUACGUGGACAUUGCUUUUCCAUGUAGUGACAUAUUUUAUUUAAAAAAAAUACUUUGAUUUAAUAAAUUUAAAGUAUAAUAAUAAGUAUUAUUUCAUUUCAAUUAUGAAAUUAUCAUUAAAUAAACACUUAAACAUCUAUGAACAGCUAUUUCAAAAACUUCAAUAAUAUAUCGAUAUGAUACUACUAUUCGAAUGGACCUUUUUGUAACAUUUGCAUAUUUCUUUCUUUUCGGUGACCGAGUCGCGGAGGACGGGAAUAAAAGAAGUUCGAAGAAACACGAGGUUUCUGACAUUUCCAUACAAUGGCGGGAAAAAUACGGUAAAAUGAAUAAAGAGAUCCCCCUAGGACAGAAACGUCUGAAGGAAAUCCUGUCUUGAGCGACAAGAGGGUGCAACCCAUAGGGUGCAAGCUUCUAUAUAGUAUAUGAAUUAUAUAAUAUAUUAAUUUUAUCCUUCGAGAUCGUAAAACUGUACGAAUAUUUAUUUUCCAAAUGAAUAUAUGUAUGUAUAAAACAAAGAAAAAAUUUGUAAGAGUUAAAUACAAUUAUAACUAGAAAAACGGCACUCGUAAAAUGAAACGGAUUACGAUAGUAUCGAUAAUAAAAAUUAAGAAAUUUCCAAAAAAAAGUAUAGCCGAUUAAGGACGAUUUUCAAAAGAUUUAUUCUUGAACGCGAAACGAAAUCCAGUGCAACUGAUUUAAAACGCAUGAUCACGGAGGAAUCAGAAAUGUGAUACGAUCUAGAAAAUAUAUGACAGAAUGAAGCCGUGCAAGAAUAAGAAAGAGAGGAAGACAAAUGUGCGAGGAGGAGAGACAAAUGCAUUAAGGGGUGAUUCCAAAAUGGCGCACCUCCGCCGUCAAAUUUAUUUUUGGUGCAUUCCAGUCAAACGAAUACAGAGAGAGGUCGGUCCAGCCGACUGGUAAUGUACAGACGAUGUUUCGCUAGGAAGAUCCGUUCCCAUCUUCUUGUUGGAAUACUCGAAUUAUUUUUCUUUUUUCCUUUUUACUCCUCUCUCUCUUUUUCUCGUCCCUCGCCAUGCUCUCUUUCCAUUUCCGCCGUGGUUACCGCUGCAUACUCGAAGAUCGCGAAAGAAAUCUUCGCUACGAUGUUCCUUUUCCCGCCUCUCCGAAUAUCACCGAUGAAGAACGAUUGUGACCGAACGUGCGCGUUUCGUCGAUUUUAUCGUUCGGUUAAUUAUUAAAACAAAUAACACCAGUGGUAAUCGUAUUCGCUCAUCGACGUUUUUCUUACGAUAAGAUUUUUCAUUGAUAAAAUACACACGGGGAACUGUUGGAAACAAGAAGUACUAUAAUUAAUAUUCCGAUUAUUGUUCCGCGGAAAAAGCACAUUAAUGGAAGCUUAAGUAAGAGAACCGUUGGUGGAAAUAUAUGUUACUGUGUUUACGGUGAAUUGAAGAAGAGGUUAUGUUGAAAUUAGUUUUGUGUUUGAUUGAUCUUGUAUAAUAUUCAGCUAAAUAUAAUAAAGAGAUUGAAGAAUAAGAUUCGAGUGUAUAGAAAAAAAAUAAAUAUUUAUAAAUAAUAAAAAUAUUUAAAAGACA
Apis cerana (Asiatic honeybee) is the source of this 12903-nucleotide long non-coding RNA. RefSeq lists it as uncharacterized. Lineage: Eukaryota; Metazoa; Arthropoda; Insecta; Hymenoptera; Apidae. The record is from RefSeq and is a predicted model, not a curated record.